AGAGUUUGAUCAUGGCUCAGGACGAACGCUGGCGGCGUGCUUAACACAUGCAAGUCGAACGAGAUCCUUCGGGGUCUAGUGGCGAACGGGUGAGUAACACGUGAGCAACCUGCCCUUGGCUCUGGGAUAGCCUCCGGAAACGGGGAUUAAUACCGGACAUGACCUGCUCCCGCAUGGGGGCGGGUGGAAAGUUCUUCGGCCAGGGAGGGGCUCGCGGCCUAUCAGCUUGUUGGGGGGGUAACGGCCCACCAAGGCGACGACGGGUAGCCGGCCUGAGAGGGCGACCGGCCACACUGGGACUGAGACACGGCCCAGACUCCUACGGGAGGCAGCAGUGGGGAAUAUUGCACAAUGGGCGCAAGCCUGAUGCAGCGACGCCGCGUGCGGGAUGAAGGCCUUCGGGUUGUAAACCGCUUUCAGCAGGGGCGAAUUUGACGGUACCUGCAGAAGAAGCGCCGGCUAACUACGUGCCAGCAGCCGCGGUAAUACGUAGGGCGCGAGCGUUGUCCGGAAUUAUUGGGCGUAAAGAGCUCGUAGGCGGCCUGUUGCGUCCGCUGUGAAAUCCCAGGGCUCAACCCUGGGCGUGCAGUGGAUACGGGCAGGCUGGAGGCAGGCAGGGGAGAACGGAAUUCCCGGUGUAGCGGUGAAAUGCGCAGAUAUCGGGAGGAACACCGGUGGCGAAGGCGGUUCUCUGGGCCUGUACUGACGCUGAGGAGCGAAAGCGUGGGGAGCGAACAGGAUUAGAUACCCUAGUAGUCC
Molecule: ribosomal RNA, 759 nt
Filed under: uncultured bacterium
Lineage: Bacteria
Description: bacterial SSU rRNA
Rfam family: Bacterial small subunit ribosomal RNA
Source: RNAcentral